GUGCGUGUGGUGAAGUGGCUUAACACGGAGUUCUGCAAAAGCUCUAUUUCUUUCAUGGGUUCGAAUCCCAUCACGCACU
This 79-nucleotide transfer RNA is filed under the name Caudoviricetes sp. RNAcentral describes it as "tRNA-Cys". It matches the Rfam family "tRNA". Rfam says of the family: Transfer RNA (tRNA) molecules are approximately 80 nucleotides in length. The record is from RNAcentral. Lineage: Duplodnaviria; Heunggongvirae; Uroviricota; Caudoviricetes.